CAGAGGAGCCAGAAGGUCCCUGGUCUGGUUGCAGCAAGGUUCUCCUGCAAAAGAUGUUUCCUCACCAUCAGAUGAAUGGUAUAUAGAUUCUGAAAUGCAAGACAUAUGCUGAACACCUAAUUGGGCUGCCAAUGGCUCAAAAAUAUUUCAAAAGAAUAAUCUCAGAUGCCAGUAUGACUUUCGAUGUCACUGUGACGGUGCUGCGAGUUGGCAUCACUUCGAGUCAAUUCC
Parus major (Great Tit) is the source of this 231-nucleotide long non-coding RNA. RefSeq lists it as uncharacterized. The record is from RefSeq and is a predicted model, not a curated record. NCBI's taxonomy places the organism in Eukaryota, Metazoa, Chordata, Aves, Passeriformes, Paridae. The transcript is spliced from 3 exons.